UAUAUUGGAGAGGAAGAGGGAAAGCGGCGUGCCGCUCUUCUGUGUGCCGCGGCAGAGGAGAUCGUCGCAGCCCGAAAAUAAUGACGAGAUGAUCGCGAGCCUCCCGGUGAACGGCGGGGGCGGAAGCGGUGGGCCGGUGAACCGCGUGGGGAGAGGCCUGGCCCUUCACAGGUCCAACUCCAGCCUGGAGCUGCCCCACAGUCCGGACCCCAACACCAGGAUUCCGGAAACCCCGCUUCGCAGAGAAUAUGGAUCCCACGGAAGCAUAGACAUCGUGGCGCAGUCGGCCUCGGUGGGCGAGAACUUCUUCGCCAUGCUGCAGGAUUUCCGCUCGCCGGACCAGCGAGGACCAACGUCCGCAGACUUUCUGAGACGGGUCCAGGACCAGUCCCCGGACCCGGACGAGGUCUGCGGACCCACCGGGUCCAGCCCCAAGCUGCGUCUUAAGCUGAAUCGGCUCUGGGGUGGGAAGCCCCCCCGGGGGGUCGAGGAGACCUGCUCCAGCCCGGUCGUCUCGGCGGACGUCGAGGAGCGACACCGACGACGCGCCUUCGCCCACUACGACUGUCAAUCGCUGACAGCCAAUUUGGGAUACGCCGCGAAACUUCGAGGAGUGCUCCUGGCGAGAAGAAGGAACACCGCGACGGGGGCCUCGGCGGCGAGUUCCUUGAGAGCCUCCACCCCGGACGAGGCCCCCGAAGAGGAUGCUGGAGACGGGAAAGGCAACGAGCUCCUGGAGUCGUGUCCCUUCUUUCGAAACGAGACCGGCGGGGAAGGCGAGAGGGAAGUGGGGCUGACGAGACGGGCCAACACCAACGGCGUGCACCGACCUCCCCUGGCCUAUGGGGUCUCGGUCCUGGAGCCACCACCUGGGGAGACCCUCUGGAAGCACACGUGUCCCCUCCAGAAGCGACCUCUGCCGGUCGAGAGCGUCGACGAGGGAGCCCACUACUACCGGAGGUACUUCCUCGGUCGGGAGCACCAGAACUGGUUCGGCAUGGACGAGCAACUGGGCCCCGUGGCCAUCAGCAUCCGCAAGGAUGCAAAUCAGUAUCGAAUAAUCGUCCGGACCUCGGAAUUGCUUACCCUGAGGGGCUCCGUCCCCGAAGAGGCUUUAGGUAUAAGACCCCAGGGUAGACCACCGACGAGGGAGCUCCUCGAGCUGGUGGCACCGGAAGUCCAGCUCGGCUGCCUGAGACUCGGCACCCAGGCCGCCGAGGAGGCCGUCGCCAGACUCGACGAGCAAGGGCUCUCCAACAAGUACAAAGUCGGGGUGUUGUACUGCAGAUCCGGCCAGAGGACCGAGGAGGAGAUGUACAAUAACCAGCACGCCGGACCGGCGUUUCUAGAGUUCUUAGACACCAUUGGCCAAAGAAUAAGACUGCGAGGUUUCGAGGGUUACAAGGCUGGCUUGGACACGAGGACCGACUCCACGGGUACUCAUGCCGUUGCAGCGACUCACAGAGGUGCCGACGUCACUUUCCACGUGUCCACCAUGUUGCCCUUUACUCCAAACAAUAGGCAGCAAUUACUUAGGAAGAGGCACAUCGGGAACGACAUCGUCACAAUAGUCUUUCAGGAACCCGGGGCACUGCCUUUUAGUCCUCGCAGGAUACGCUCCCAAUUCCAGCACGUCUUCGUAAUCGUUAAGGCUAUCAAUCCUUGCACGGAAAAUACGCAGUACAGCGUAGCCGUAUCCAGGAGCAAGGAAGUUCCGAUCUUCGGCCCGCCCGUUCCUCCUGGAGCCACGUUCUCCAAGGGGAAGGCUUUCGCCGACUUCAUCCUGGCAAAAGUAAUCAAUGCCGAAAAUGCAGCUCACAGGUCUGAAAAGUUCGCCACCAUGGCGACCAGAACCAGACAGGAGUACUUGAAAGACUUAGCCACGGAUUACUCCUCCACCGCGGUUGUCGACACCGGGCAGAAGUUCUCGAUGCUGUCGUUCAGCAGCAAGAAGAAGAUCCAAGUACGUCCGCGCCUGUCGUGCGAUGCCUCGCAACGCGGGGCAAUUUGCUGGCAAGUCAUCCUGGAGGAUAGCAAUCAAAAUACUGACUGCUACCUCGGCAUCAGUAUCGACACCAUUGUCCUUAUCGAGGAGCAUUCCCGGCAAAUUGUCUUCGUGACUCCCUGCAUCAGCGUCCUCGGCUGGCACGCUCAAACCAACAGCUUACGGCUGUACUAUCACCAAGGAGAGUGCAUUACGAUCCACGUUAGAGGCGAUUACGGGGAGAGGGACGAGCUCAUGGAGAUCGUGGCACGACUUCGAGCCGUGACUCAAGGCUCGCCGGCAUCGGAGCUGUCGCUGAAGAGGAACGCUCUGGGACAGCUCGGAUUCCACGUGCAGCCUGAUGGAGUCGUGACCCAGGUUGAAAGUUUGGGCCUCUCUUGGCAGGCCGGUCUCAGACAGGGUUCUCGUCUCGUGGAGAUCUGCAAGGUCGCCGUCUCGACGCUGAGCCACGAUCAGAUGGUGGACCUCCUCAAGACCAGCGCCCAGGUCACCGUAACCGUGAUCCCGCCGACCAACGAUGGGAAUCCACGAAGAGGGUGCACCCUGCAGAACUGCCAGUACCUGUCGAAUAAUUACGAGGGCGAUUACGAGAACGUGACGAACCCGGACAGCACGCCUACCCAGCAGACGGCGAUGUCCCACCAGAGACGGUACGAAAGAUCGUUCAGCCCGCCGAGGUCGAGCAACAGUUCCGGAUACGGGACCGGGUCGAGUUCCCGAUCGUUCAACGAUCCACGGUUUCCCUUGGAGGGUACCAUGACCAGCAGCAGUAGCGGACACAGUAGUGCCGACGAUCGAUGGUACGAGCUCCUGGAGCCCCAGGACCAGGACUCCACCCAUCGACGGGAUGGGACGCCUCCACCUUUACCGGCGCGGCAGAAUUACCAAGCCGUGACGCCCAGCGGCAAGGGUGGAGUUGGUCAGAGAAAGGAAAAGGAAUCUCAUUACUCGGGUGCGGGGAUCGCGAAGCACUUCAACCACGAGCACUACGCCAAAGAGAACAACUGCGUAUCCUCUAGGCUGGGGGAAAGUGCCAGACAUGAGAGCUACCAUCAACGGUACGAGAACUCCCACCGUGCCCAGGAUCACGUAACGGCGAACUACGUGAAACUGCAGAAGGAGAAGUACGAGACGAAGCAGGAGAACUUGUACGCCUCGCAGAGGGAAUUGCACCGGAACGACGGGCAUGGUCAUCAGAAGCUCGCCGUUUCAAGUUCUCUACCUCUGGCCCAGAACCCUGGGUACAGUCUUCCUAAAUCCGGGAGCAACAACAACCUCAUCAGGUACGAGUUUGAGCAGGCUGCAAGCGAACGAUCCAAGCACGAGUAUGAGUCUGGGAAACCCGACCGGAAUUCUAAGUACGAGAUCUUCGAGGACAAGAUGGUCGAAGGACCGGGUAACAAGUACGAUAACGAGGUGAGGUCCCGCGAUAAAAGGAGUUACGAAGUGGAGGAGAGCUGUUACGAUCGGAGGAGCAAGUACGAGUCGGACGUGGAGUCCCAAAGGACGUCCGAGAGGAAGCACGAGGAAGGGGAUGCGAACAGGGACUCGGUUAGGUACGAGGUACCCCAGGAAUUCAAGGUCGGAGAGAAGGUAACGUGCCUGAAGACGAUCCUGACCGAGAGGCCGGCGCCGCACAAGGUCAGCAUCGAAUACAGGCCGAAGGAUUUCGCAUCGAGCUUGCCUCCCGAAGUCGCGAGGGUCGUGGAAAGCAAUUCCACAGAAGUUGCGACUUUGCCGAGCGAGGACGAACAGUCGAACGGGUCGGGAAACGUUUCUCCGAGGCUGAGGAGGGCGAACACCAAACACCGAGGAGGUAAUCUCACGCCAUCCAGCGGUAGCUCCAGGAAUCACAGCCCCAGGCCCAAACUGGGAGUCAGGAACUCCCACAGGAACUCUGCCAACCUGACCUCGAGCACUCUUCAAGAAGACCUCAUGAAGCUGAUCAACCCCGACUACAUUGCCGACGAGACGCAGGUGUCGAACAACAACGUGACCAACGUCCUGGGGAACAACCAGAAUUCCAACAAGCUGAACAAUAAUCUCAUCGAGAUACAGAACAGGUGCAGGUCUAGGGAGAAUCUGUGCGGCAACAGCACCUCCACCUUGAGCGUUCUGCCGACCAACGAGCAAGAGAACGGGAACACUGGGUCCGAGGUGAUCUUAACAAUGGCCAGACCUGCUACCGUCAUCUCCAAUGCGAGCACCGCUUCCAGCCCUGCACCCAGCGAGAAUAAAAUGUCCAAAGAGGAGAGGCUCUCUCCGCGCGUCACGAAGUCGCCGCACUGCGUCGCGAAGCCUCCCAGCAGCCUUGCCACGGUGAGGGACACGAAGCAUCAGACUGAGAAUGAUUCCGAAUGUUGGACGAGCCAUCACGGGGAUGCGAACAACCCCAGAGUCGGGAAGCACGGACAGGAUCGCCAGGACGAAAGACUCAACGACGGGUCGAACUCUAUAACGAAUGCCGUCUCGGACUUGCAGACGCAUUUGUCUACCUUGGAGCUAAGGGUAGCCAGGGAGACUCGCAGGCGCCUCUCGUUGGAGGACGAAGUGCGUAGACUAAGAGAUGAGAACCGGCGUUUACAGGACGAGAGUCACGCAGCUGCCCAGCAGCUGCGGCGCUUCACCGAGUGGUUUUUUCAGACCAUAGAUCAUCAAUAACUCGUUGCCUCGGAUGGCGAACGCGUUAAGUUGCGAGGUAACGGCGAGACAUGUAAUUGCUACGUUUUUUCCCUGUCCUCGUCUGUAUCGAAAUGACUACGUUCGUCUCUUUAUUUGCAAAGAGUCGCACGGUGUACCGCUGCUCGGCGGAAUCGGUGUCGCAAUGGCGUCUCCGCUGGCCCCAAGGAAUAUCGCGCGAUUAUCGGACCCCGUAAUCGAUAUGUAAAUGCAGUAUUAACGUCGCCCCUCGAGUAUCAUCUUUAAAGUGGUUUAAAGACGAUCCGCGUAGGCUUUCGUGAAGGAUUCGCCCUGUGACCUGUGCCCCGUAACCGCGAGUCGCGAAUUGGCCUAGAUCCUUUGUAACAUACGUUUUCAUUUUUACUAAGGAUAAGUGUAAUGUGUAAGUUACCAUCACGUCGUACUUUAUCCCGGAUGAAAAGGAAAAAGGAGGGAAAAAAAGAAAAGGAUCAUCUUAUCGCGCGCAUCGAAGCGGUCGCGUUCGGCCAACUUUUCGGGAGCCAUCUUGAUGGGUCGGACGGGACGAAUCUUAAGCGUUUAAUGUUAUGUUUUAAAGCGACCAAUGACCAAAUAUUACUGUUACACUGAGAGUUACUCCGUUUGCUCUGUAAUUUAUUACGUUUUCAUUAUUUCUUUUUUUUUUAUAACUACGAGGAUAUAUAUAUUAAGUGGAUAAUAUUCAGUUAACGUCGCGACACCUCGUGGUUAAACCGACAAACUUUCCGACUCUGCUUCGGUAAUCCGAGGGAAAACUCGGCAUUUCUAACCGUGCAGUUGAAUGGGAGAAAAAGAAAAGAGAGAGAGAUCGUUUCAUUACGAACAUUCGAGAUGCCCUCGACUUUUAGGAACGAUUCCCAAACCGGGACCCGGUAAAGAAAUUCUCGGUGACCGGCGAAGAUGCAGGAGCAUCUCGUUUACUGAUUAUUGGCCUUUAAACGCUUCUUGGGACGAUCUCGGGACGUCCCGUUAUAUGCAAAUGACCAGGCCAGGCGCGUCUCCGAAGGCUCAAGAGACCAGCGCCCGAAAGGGAGUGGAGGAGGAUGUAGCGUUUCACCGUGAAGUAGAAUAAAAAUAGUUUAUUGUAAUCCACAGAAAAAACAAGACAUUCUCUCGAUGUCUUAUACAACUCACUGUUCUGUCAGUUAACAAUUAACUGCAAUUACAUCCUACUCGAGACCACCGGGAAACUAAACGGAACGAAAGAUUUUAGGUUGCGAGCCCGAACCAGGUGGAUCGACGCGAAGGAUUCCUCGUCAGGGACGUUUCCCUCUCGCAUGCUUUUCCACUCCGAAAUUGCCAAAUCGAAUCAACGACAGUAAAUAGCCAAGACCGAAGCCGAACGUUCGUACCUCAUCCAGCGCGAUGUCCGCCCUAAACAACGCAUUCCUUCGCUUCUUUUUCUUUCCUUCUUUUCUUCCCAUCAAAGUGCCGCCAUCACCUACCGAAACGAUUCGUCGCCUUGAGAAGUACCUUUUACACAAGAUAAAAUGAGGUCCUAUAUUUAUACAAUGUACAAUAUACACUUAGCACCAGGAUCGGUUUAGGCGACGAGGAAUACACGUAAAGGUACAAUUUAAUCCAACAAUCGAGGUGCUAGAGCGCGCGCGCGGUCUCAUAAAAAUAAAUACAAUCCGUUAUAUAAUAUAUCCGAUAUUACAAAAGGACGCACUAUACAGAAUUUAUACAAUUAUUCCCGUCUACUUGGAACUUAUAAUUUACAAUUUAAACUGCAAUUUCGAGCCAACGUCGAGGCGAGCCGCGGGUAGACGUGACGUGUAAUAAGAUCUCGGAUAUAGAUUUACCUCUUGCCCGUAAUCACUGCUUCUGAAAUGGAAAUAAUCCGAACGAGUCCUCUUACUUGGAUAUAUUCUCUAGGAAAAAAAAAAAGCUCUAAUGCGCGCGUUGUAAUUCAUGCCCACGAAUAACUCGAAACUCCAUUACGCGUUACGUCUAUUCUUCGUUCCGUCACGAGAGAAGGAUUUACUUCCCGUCGAUCUUAAUCAUGAUCACCUUUACGGAGCACGCCGAACCUCCGGUAUACAACACUAUAAUUGCCCUCAAAGUCGGAAAUGGUUCCGUAUAUAAUUUUUCUUUUUUUUCCCCCUUCGAACCAGAAUCGAGUAUAUCUAUAUUACGCGUUCGAGUACGAAUAGACUGUCGUCGGGUGUUUAAAAGUUAACAUAAUUAUCGUUAUAACGUAUCACUGGUGCUACAGCUCGCAGCCAAGCCGUUUUUCUUUUUUCUCUUCGUCGUAAGUACAUUAAGUAUGUCCGCCUUACGGCGUAAAACGGUUUCCAUCAUUUUUUCAUCCUCCUCCUCCUUACAUCACUAGUAGCUUCUUACAUGUCUAGUUUUACAUAUGCCCCCAUGGAAGUUGGAUUUUCGAUUUGAUUAAAGGUGAUACGUGGAUUAUGCUCACCGGAUUAAGCACGAAGACUUGGAGCUAAACGUGUACGGAUAACAUCGAAUACGACGUCUCGAUCGUAAAGUAAUCUUAUCGUAACCAAUCGUACUUUUCGUGCUAAAUUGCAGAUCAAAGGAAAGCCGUUCCGAAUCGAGCAACCAAGCAGACGACUAAACGCACUGUUCAUCAGGAAACUACCGUGUAUAUUAGACGCGUUAUGCCGUACCAGGAAAGGCUCAUCGGGGUCGGAUCAACGAGAAAUGCCUUCUAAGGGGACUCACAGGGUCUGGAGAUUCUUGCCUUAAGGCCGAGUCUACCAACUUCAUCUAUGUACACUUCAAGAUCACCGAGAAAGGUAAGAGAAAAAUAUCAGAUCGAAGGGAAUGAAAAAAAAAAAGAAAAAAAAAGAUGCGAAUGGAGGGUAAUAUGUGAUGGAUAUCAUCCAUGGUGAUGAUCGCGAAGCCGAGGGUGUUAAGAAAAAAAAAAAGCAGUUUAUCAAUAAAAUAAAUUAAUGUCUCCACCAAGACGUAGAAAGGGUGGACCCAAACGCAAGUAAGCCCGCUUAACGACUAAAGCGGAAUUUACGAUCACUAAUAAUAUCGAUGCCCAAGAAACUAAGGCAAGGUAAUUCACAUCGGUCUCGUACACGUAAUCGCAACGUAUCGUCCGAAAAUAAAAAAAAAAUAAAAAUUAAUUUGCAUGUAAGGCAAUAUUUUGCAAUGCUCAAAUUCCAUUAAAAGUUCGCCCGACGCGAAAUUAAAUAGCGGACUGCAGAGUGUCGGUGACUCGUUAUUAAAUGAAAUACUGCUUCGUUAAUAUGACUGUCCGUAACAUUGUUAACACGGACACGUAAUGCCUCCGCGAUCGCGUGCAUUUAAUAACGACUCCGCGACGAAAAAUACUGAAAGUGACUAUUUCACCUCAAGCAAGAGCGUAAUUAUCUAGGUAAUAUUUUUACCUUUCAUUUAACAAGAGAGUUGCCACAACGUAACGGCUCGACUUUAAAAUAGAUUUAGUAAGUGACGAUAAAUAAUCGAUUCGUUCGUUAUUGCAAUGAUCAACUUAUAAAUUGCUCCUUCGAUUGAAGACCCUGUACCUUGAAUUAAUUCCGAGGCAUACAAGACUCUCGUCGAGCGAAAGGACCAUUCGCGUUUUCCGUAUAAAUAAAUAUACUAUAUAUCCUAUAAUUUGCAACUUAUAUAUAUACAAAUUUCAUGCGCGCGUAUAAAUUAUUAUCAUCAAAUAUAUAUAAUACAGGAGAAUGUGAGGUGUCUCGUUGGACGGGGGUCCUCGUUCUCGGAGUUAAUUCAAAGUUUGCGAUAUAUCCGCGUAGUCUUAAAGAAGUACUUGAAAAAAGUUAACAAUGCCUCUCGAACCGCACAAAUUUUUGCCUAAAUCUACAAGAUUUUCGCUUCGAAGCAGCCCAGAUCUGCCACCCAUAAACGAUCCUCGAAUACUGUUUGAAUACUAACAACGUCACUGUACAAUCCCAUAAGAAUGGUAAUAAAUUAGAGCAGCAUCACGAGGACGUUACAGUGAUAAAAUAUUUUUCUUCCAAUACUUAUUAUAAUACGGAGCGAUCUCAAUCGGGUGGCCACGAGGGUGUAUCGCGUCCCUUUAAAAAUGUUAUCCAGGUAAUUAUGCACAUCGGGCCGACGGAUAAAAAUAAAUUCGCGGUGAACAUCCGGAAAGCCAUUCGCUGGAACUUCCCACUUUCCGGAACAAUUUGCCAGGCGAACGUUACGUGGCGCUUACGUCGACACCGCCAAAAUGGCAAGACAAAGUUGUAGCUCGACGGACAUAUCCUGGGCCGACAUAAAUUAGUUAUCCAGGCCGCGACGAGGAUACGCAAGGGGAAAUAUCUGGCUCCACCAGUUUGACAUAUCCCAUCUAAUACGACACACAUCGUUUCUACGGUCGUUCGUUAAGACUAUCAUUAGUUAGAGGUGCUCGCGAGCGGAGAGAGAAGAAAACGUCACAGAAUUUGACAAGGAAUGGCGAACGAACCGAGCAAAAAAUUCACUCCUUUCCUGCCCGGCUCGUCCACGCCGUUACCGGUUACAAAUUUCCAUUACAACUCUCGGUACACGGGAGAAAAAGAAAAUCUAAAAGUCCCUCGACUUAAAGGAGAUUCAGCGCGUGGCAAGGGACAUUUGCAUACCACCAGCGAUAACGAGUGUACACGUAGUACCGAGAAUCAGUUUCAUCGGCAAGCGAGAAUUCUUCUCCAACUACUCGCUAAGUCCGCGCCUUCCAUUGUCGUUACGAUUAUCAACUACGACCUACUAAUAGUUUAUAGCGUAUAAUAUUGUAUAUAGUAUAUCUUCAGCAUCACAGUAAGAUAGCGCCCUUCAAUUGUUACGUGAAAUCCGUGUCGAUCUCGCCGCAGAUCCUCUUUUCUCAAUCUCAAUUCUCCUUUCCCUUCAUUAUAUUAAUUUCCAUCAACAAACCUACCCUACAACAACCCGUCUAACAUUAUCAAGACUUCGACACCCUAGUUAGGCGUAAUUUACGUACUGAGUACCGCAACAGCGGUUGGGACGACCUCGGAAUCCCGUCGAGGGAAUCGAACGGUUUUCACCAAUUGCAAUUCCCCGCUCGGUGCAUUAGUUUAGAAACUGAUCGGAGAGUUCGAUUAAAGAGUCUGCCGUUGAAAAAAAAAAAGAAAAAAAAGAAAAGGGAAGCGUCCAAUUCCGUCGACCCAAUUGCGAGGCCGUUCCAACUCCUGGUGCUCCGUUUGCAAAAACUCGUGAGGUAAUCAAUCGGGAGGGUGGGCUCGGGGGAGGAAAGGACUCAACGACCGCCCGAGGGAGGUAAUGGAGGUGUCUCUACGUGAGAGUCGUUAUCAAUUAAUUGGAUAAAACCGAAGGAGACUACAAGAGGGUCUCCCAUUGUCGGUCGUUCGCAAGUCCGCGACCAUUAUAAACAACGGCAAUCCCAAAGAGAGGAUUGACCCGGUUAGACCCGUUACUUCGUUAUCCUCUUAAGCGUGUUUCCGUAGGAUAAAAAAAAAAUAUAAAAUACAAAAGGAGAACAGAAAAGAUCUACCGCGGUUGGCUGACUAAUGUGAUGAAACCCAUAGAAAUUGAAAUCGAUCGUUACCCAUUGAUUCUCAGUCCGCGCGUGAGAGGAGGAAAAGCGUUCGCGUGGAGUAGCCAAAGGAAAUCAGGUAGGACCUAUAUAAAUACACGUUUAAGAAUUAAUCCGAACAAACAAAAUAAAUAGUUAUAAAAAUAAGCGAGCAUUUGAUGCUUAAGAUAUAUCUUAUCUAGAGAGAGAGAGAGAAAAAAAAAAAGACCCUAAUUAGUUUGCACCACCUACGGAGUGGAAUGUUUACGGUUUCACUUAACUAGAAUCGUAAAAGCGUCAUUUCUAAAACGAUAAGUUCAACUACCGUGCAUAGGGAAAGAGAAUCUAUCAACGAUUAUCUCGUGGAUCAAUAAAUAAGCAAGAGAGUGCAACAAGGGACGAUUCAGAUAAGCGUAGAAUCAUGGGCUGGGUCUGACUACGACUGCCAACAUUUACAAUUUGCAGAACAUACAUAAAAGGUACAUUGUCUCGAGCAAACGCUCGAUGCAAUUGAUUUUUCCCUCUAAUUUCUAGCAUCGAGAUUUCGCUACCGCGUCUUAACAAAAGUCUUGAAUGUCGAGAUAUAAAAAACGAUCAAAACGCUCAUCCGCGUCGAUUAAAUAAUCAUAAAUACAGGGCAUAAUUUAACGUCGUGAUAUCGACAAGGCAUAGAUAAAAAGAAUAAGAAAAAUACAUCGUUAAUUAAUAAUUACGCUCAUUUCCAAUCCAUCACGGUGAUUGCUCAUCUUUAACAAGUUGACACACCGAAAUUCGAGAUAGAGAACCCUACACUUAAGACACUCGAAAAUGCCCACGAUCUACGCCAUGAUUCAUAACUUAAAUACGAGAAAACCUUUUUGUACUCUUCUACAAACUUUACUUCGUACUUGUUUAACAUACUUCUAACGAUAAUAUCGCCUUACUAUGUCACCGAGACGUAGGCUUCAUCCUGGUCUAUACUGGGCACGUUGUAGGAUCGGAAGGUGGGCUAACGAAUCGAAUUAGCGAAGACCGUCCUGUGAGAUAGCAGUCAUUUGGAGACAUCGUUCCGUGCGAGCAACGUCAUUCCCUAUCCCCAACAAAGCAUUUCCUGCGCUCUGUAUAAAAUAAUACCGACUGUAGACUGAUCUUUGAAAUCUCGUUCAUACCCAAAAUAAAUAAGAUCGUAAACAGUUAUCACUGUUACGACUCGCUUCCCUGCAGGGUAUUUUCUAAAACAACGAAACAUUCAUAGAAAGCUCCACGCAAAAGCGUGGUGCCGUUAGCCCAUCUCCUUUUAUGUCAUAAUGCUCGCUCGAGUAGCACGUAGUAGUACGCAGUACUCGAGCGAGUUUACUCUGGUUCCAUUGUACCGUACGAACCGUACCAUCAAACGCGGUACAAUGGCGAACGACCAGCACCGGAGGGAAUAAAAAUUAAAACAGAUAGAACCUGACCCAUGCACUGCGGAGCCUUGCUCGUUCAACGCCUGUACUACUCAAGUGCGCAACCUUGAAUCGGGAAUAACCCUUGAAUUGGAACUUAGACCGCAUGCAGGGUACCGGCUCGUCCUCGAGAAAUGGAUCUUUUAUGGGAAC
RNA transcript from Orussus abietinus, 11734 nucleotides. It is a transcript of the gene named signal-induced proliferation-associated 1-like protein 2, with no coding region annotated. Lineage: Eukaryota; Metazoa; Arthropoda; Insecta; Hymenoptera; Orussidae. The transcript has 16 exons. The record is from RefSeq and is a predicted model, not a curated record.